AAGUCGAGCGGACCGACGGGAGCUUGCUCCCUUAGGUCAGCGGCGGACGGGUGAGUAACACGUGGGUAACCUGCCUGUAAGACUGGGAUAACUCCGGGAAACCGGGGCUAAUACCGGAUGCUUGAUUGAACCGCAUGGUUCAAUCAUAAAAGGUGGCUUUUAGCUACCACUUGCAGAUGGACCCGCGGCGCAUUAGCUAGUUGGUGAGGUAACGGCUCACCAAGGCGACGAUGCGUAGCCGACCUGAGAGGGUGAUCGGCCACACUGGGACUGARACACGGCCCAGACUCCUACGGGAGGCAGCAGUAGGGAAUCUUCCGCAAUGGACGAAAGUCUGACGGARCAACGCCGCGUGAGUGAUGAAGGUUUUCGGAUCGUAAAACUCUGUUGUUAGGGAAGAACAAGUACCGUUCGAAUAGGGCGGBACCUUGACGGUACCUAACCAGAAAGCCACGGCUAACUACGUGCCAGCAGCCGCGGUAAUACGUAGGUGGCAAGCGUUGUCCGGAAUUAUUGGGCGUAAAGCGCGCGCAGGCGGUUUCUUAAGUCUGAUGUGAAAGCCCCCGGCUCAACCGGGGAGGGUCAUUGGAAACUGGGGAACUUGAGUGCAGAAGARGAGAGUGGAAUUCCACGUGUAGCGGUGAAAUGCGUAGAGAUGUGGAGGAACACCAGUGGCGAAGGCGACUCUCUGGUCUGUAACUGACGCUGAGGCGCGAAAGCGUGGGGAGCGAACAGGAUUAGAUACCCUGGUAGUCCACGCCGUAAACGAUGAGUGCUAAGUGUUAGAGGGUUUCCGCCCUUUAGUGCUGCAGCAAACGCAUUAAGCACUCCGCCUGGGGGAGUACGGUCGCAAGACUGAAACUCAAAGGAAUUGACGGGGGCCCGCACAAGCGGUGGAGCAUGUGGUUUAAUUCGAAGCAACGCGAAGAACCUUACCAGGUCUUGACAUCCUCUGACAACCCUAGAGAUAGGGCUUCCCCUUCGGGGGCAGAGUGACAGGUGGUGCAUGGUUGUCGUCAGCUCGUGUCGUGAGAUGUUGGGUUAAGUCCCGCAACGAGCGCAACCCUUGAUCUUAGUUGCCAGCAUUCAGUUGGGCACUCUAAGGUGACUGCCGGUGACAAACCGGAGGAAGGUGGGGAUGACGUCAAAUCAUCAUGCCCCUUAUGACCUGGGCUACACACGUGCUACAAUGGGCAGAACAAAGGGCAGCGAAGCCGCGAGGCUAAGCCAAUCCCACAAAUCUGUUCUCAGUUCGGAUCGCAGUCUGCAACUCGACUGCGUGAAGCUGGAAUCGCUAGUAAUCGCGGAUCAGCAUGCCGCGGUGAAUACGUUCCCGGGCCUUGUACACACCGCCCGUCACACCACGAGAGUUUGUAACACCCGAAGUCGGUGAGGUAACCUUUUGGAGCCAGCCGCCG
Molecule: ribosomal RNA, 1418 nt
Filed under: Bacillus licheniformis
Lineage: Bacteria; Bacillati; Bacillota; Bacilli; Caryophanales; Bacillaceae
Description: bacterial SSU rRNA
Rfam family: Bacterial small subunit ribosomal RNA
Source: RNAcentral